GCCCCAGUGUAGCUUAGGCUUCUCACUGCUUUCAUAUUUGAGCCUCAGACUUAACUUCUCCAGAGGAGACAGUCCAUUUCCAACAGGGCACUGAGAAGACCCCUUUACCAUUUCAUACUAACUAAUUGUUGUUAUUUCUUUAGGGUCGAGACAAAAAAGCUUGACCCAUGGAGGAGGAAACUAAGGAGCUAAUGGUUCGUAAAGAAGGUUGCAGCUGCACAGAACUGGCCCACGUCACUGAGCUUCUCUUUCCUUUUCCCUUUCUCCCAGUCUUCAUUUCCUAAAGUCUCAAGCUCCAGGGAAGACGGGAUAUGAUAUGAAACUAAGGGGAUCCCACAUCAUGACUCAGAAAAUUUCUGGUCAAAUACUAGGAGGGUCCCUCACCCACCCUGGACUCACUGACUGACUAAAGUAGCUGACCAGCAAGCUUCUUGGAUCCUCCCGUGCUGGAGCUACAGGUGUGCCCCGACAUGCUUAGCUGUUGUGAGCGUUCUGGGGAUCCAAACUCGGGCCUUCAUGUUUGCGCACGGGGAACACAAUCAGACUCAGCUACCUCUUCGGCUCAGCUUCUUUGUUUGCUGGUAAAUGUCUGAGGACACUGUGAUCUCUGGGGACACCAUCUAAGCUGCUCUUAACUGUUUUAGUUAUAAAGCCUGUGAAACCUA
Peromyscus maniculatus bairdii (prairie deer mouse) is the source of this 665-nucleotide non-coding RNA. Lineage: Eukaryota; Metazoa; Chordata; Mammalia; Rodentia; Cricetidae. The record is from RefSeq and is a predicted model, not a curated record.